GAACGAACGCUGGCGGCAGGCUUAACACAUGCAAGUCGAACGAUGUAGCAAUACAUAGUGGCGCACGGGUGAGUAACGCUGGGAAUAUACAACCAGUGGGGAAUAACUUUGGGAACUAAAGCUAAUACCGCAUACGCCCGAGAGGGGAAAGAUUUAUCGCUGAUUGAUUAGCCCGCGUGAGAUUAGGUAGUUGGUGGGGUAAUGGCCUACCAAGCCUACGAUCUCUAGCUGGUCUGAGAGGAUGAUCAGCCACACUGGAACUGAGACACGGUCCAGACUCCUACGGGAGGCAGCAGUGGGGAAUAUUGGGCAAUGGAGGAAACUCUGAUCCAGCCAUGCCGCGUGCAGGAAGAAGGCCUUCUGGGUUGUAAACUGCUUUUGCCGGGGAUAAAAGAUCCAUGCGUGGAGAAUUGAAGGUACCCGGUGAAUAAGCCACGGCUAACUACGUG
Molecule: ribosomal RNA, 449 nt
Filed under: uncultured bacterium
Lineage: Bacteria
Description: bacterial SSU rRNA
Rfam family: Bacterial small subunit ribosomal RNA
Source: RNAcentral